GUGGGGAAUCUUGCGCAAUGGGCGAAAGCCUGACGCAGCCAUGCCGCGUGAAUGAUGAAGGUCUUAGGAUUGUAAAAUUCUUUCACCGGGGACGAUAAUGACGGUACCCGGAGAAGAAGCUCCGGCUAACUUCGUGCCAGCAGCCGCGGUAAUACGAAGGGGGCUAGCGUUGCUCGGAAUUACUGGGCGUAAAGGGCGCGUAGGCGGACAGCUUAGUCAGAGGUGGAAGCCCAGGGCUCAACCUUGGAAUUGCCUUUGAUACUGGCUGUCUUGAGUGUGGGAGAGGGGAGUGGAACUCCGAGUGUAGAGGUGAAAUUCGUAGAUAUUCGGAAGAACACCAGUGGCGAAGGCGACUCACUGGCCCAAUACUGACGCUGAGGCGCGAAAGCGUGGGGAGCAAACAGGAUUAGAAACCCCAGUAGUCC
RNAcentral lists this ribosomal RNA (425 nucleotides) under uncultured bacterium. Its description in RNAcentral is "partial 16S ribosomal RNA". It matches the Rfam family "Bacterial small subunit ribosomal RNA", at positions 354 to 796 of the family's 1533-position model. The record is from RNAcentral.